GCGACCCCAGGACGGGCGAGGCCACCCGCCGAGUUUAAGCAUAUCAAUAAGCGGAGG
RNAcentral lists this ribosomal RNA (57 nucleotides) under Dichaea muricata. RNAcentral describes it as "partial 26S ribosomal RNA". Lineage: Eukaryota; Viridiplantae; Streptophyta; Magnoliopsida; Asparagales; Orchidaceae. RNAcentral also lists the same sequence under 1 other name. The record is from RNAcentral.